This 639-nucleotide ribosomal RNA is filed under the name uncultured bacterium. RNAcentral's name for it is "bacterial SSU rRNA". It matches the Rfam family "Bacterial small subunit ribosomal RNA", at positions 173 to 773 of the family's 1533-position model. The record is from RNAcentral.
GGAUGUGCCCAGAUGGGAUUAGCUAGUAGUGGGGUAAUGGCUCACCUAGGCGACGAUCCCUAGCUGGGGCCUCACGCCAUCGGAUGUGCCCAGAUGGGAUUAGCUAGUAGGUGGGGUAAUGGCUCACCUAGGCGACGAUCCCUAGCUGGUCUGAGAGGAUGACCAGCCACACUGGAACUGAGACACGGUCCAGACUCCUACGGGAGGCAGCAGUGGGGAAUAUUGCACAAUGGGCGCAAGCCUGAUGCAGCCAUGCCGCGUGUGUGAAGAAGGCCUUAGGGUUGUAAAGCACUUUCAGCGAGGAGGAAGGCGUUGCAGUUAAUAGCUGCAGCGAUUGACGUUACUCGCAGAAGAAGCACCGGCUAACUCCGUGCCAGCAGCCGCGGUAAUACGGAGGGUGCAAGCGUUAAUCGGAAUUACUGGGCGUAAAGCGCACGCAGGCGGUUUGUUAAGUCAGAUGUGAAAUCCCCGAGCUUAACUUGGGAACUGCAUUUGAAACUGGCAAGCUAGAGUCUUGUAGAGGGGGGUAGAAUUCCAGGUGUAGCGGUGAAAUGCGUAGAGAUCUGGAGGAAUACCGGUGGCGAAGGCGGCCCCCUGGACAAAGACUGACGCUCAGGUGCGAAAGCGUGGGGAGCAAAC